Molecule: long non-coding RNA, 991 nt
Organism: Chinchilla lanigera (long-tailed chinchilla)
Lineage: Eukaryota; Metazoa; Chordata; Mammalia; Rodentia; Chinchillidae
Exons: 3
Source: RefSeq, a predicted model, not a curated record
CGCACGCCCAAUCACCUCCAACCGCCGCCGAUCCCUUUGUCUGGGCCGCCGUAGCAGGCCAAUAGGAUCGCUUGGGGGCGCGGGCGGCACGCGGGUUGAUCAAUGGGUGCACUCGAGGGCGUGGCUUAUGAGGAAGCGCUGCGGCCCGAAGGAUUCGUAGGGCGCCCGCUGCGGGACUAGAGUGCGGAAGGCCGGUUAGGGCCGCUGCUGCCGGGUUCUGCUCUUCUGAGCCCCGUACUCUAUCUAUCAAGAUAGCACCCGAAAGCCAGCAGGGGGACGUGGGAGGGGACGUCGCAGUUGCAGGAAGCGGGGACGGCGACUUGGAGAGGGUCAGCCCCGCGGCCUCAGAGGACUUCGUCCAGAACAGCCCAUCGCGCCCUGGAAGGACACGCGAAGUGCAGGCGACACAGCCUCCCGGGGGAAAGGAGUGCGUUGUCCGUAAAUCAGUGUUCCGCUUCGAAGUCACCGGGCUUCUUCAGGCUCAUACUCAGGGAGUGCCUGUGGGAUUGGUGGCUGAUGUCCCAGCCUUACCUAGGAGGAGCAGUGGCCCCUCAUUUCCUGAGCUAAACAGCCAGUGCCGGGGAGCAGACCUGGAGGGGACCACAGCCAAGGCUUCGCAGAUUGCUGCUCGGGGCCUCCUCACCCCACAGCUCCUAUACACCGGCAACCUGCCUGGCCUGCCACAGUCUUGAGGCUGCUGAACACUUGCUGAUGGACCAACAGAACCUCACAACCUGAGGUGACACAUCAGGCUCGAGGGCCUGGGUGCCCACAACCAAAGUAAACCAGCAGUGAACAACAGAACUACCAUCAAUCUGGGUGCCGAGUGGCUUGGGCAGUCAAGACCAAAGUGGAACCGUGGCCACGCUCUCAGAGAGGAAGGUGCUUCCCUUUUGUUUGGGCUGUUAUGCCAGGCUGUAUAUAUCAGCACCAUCAAAAGUACAGUUAAUUUAGCUCAAAUUGAUCUCAGACUAAAUAAUUCGACCUGGUU